UUUAAAAUCCCUACAAUGAAUUAAUGAAAUCAAGCCAUUAUUCACACUUCAUUAUAUGGAUUGUGAUAGCUAAAAUCUAAAUACAUAUAUUUAUACGUAGAGACAUGCAUAUUACGCAAAAAAGGAGCAACCAAGUAUCUUACAUGUCCUAAUUUUCAAAGGAAAUGAAAAAUCCCAUUUUUUUACCCUAGGACAAUAUUUAACCACGGAUGCCAUGAAGCGGGUGUCAUUUACAUAGUUCACCAAAAUAUCUGGUUGACUAAUAUAGUAAUAAGUUUUUUCACUGCCAAACAAAGAUUAUGAGCAAUAAGCAAUCCGAGACUUUCAUGUUGCGUCCAGAAUGUUUGUUUAUGCUGCAGAUGAGAAAUAUAUGAGACAUCCAUAACUAAGCAUCAUGCAACUUAAACACACGAACUGAAAAAGCCCAACAACCGACCAAACCAACAUCCAGAAGAGAUUUCAGGAUCUUGGCCAUCAAAUGGCGAGGAGAAUUUGUACUGAUGCUU
RNAcentral lists this long non-coding RNA (506 nucleotides) under Sorghum bicolor (sorghum). RNAcentral's name for it is "long non-coding RNA (SBIC_LNC010125)". Lineage: Eukaryota; Viridiplantae; Streptophyta; Magnoliopsida; Poales; Poaceae. The record is from RNAcentral.